RNAcentral lists this small nuclear RNA (321 nucleotides) under Chinchilla lanigera (long-tailed chinchilla). Its description in RNAcentral is "7SK RNA (ENSCLAG00000021798.1)". It matches the Rfam family "7SK RNA". Rfam says of the family: 7SK was discovered as an abundant small nuclear RNA in the mid-70s but a possible function has only recently been suggested. Two independent studies have found that 7SK RNA binds the CDK9/cyclin T complex (known as elongation factor P-TEFb). P-TEFb activates transcription by phosphorylating the C-terminal domain of RNA polymerase II. Lineage: Eukaryota; Metazoa; Chordata; Mammalia; Rodentia; Chinchillidae. The record is from Rfam by way of RNAcentral.
GGCACUAGGUCGUGACCUGGCGGCCACACCUGCCGCCCUUUGGCUCGCCAGGGCUGCUCUGGCUGAUGUGGCUGGCUGGGUGGGUAUCUCCUUCCUCCCUCACCACGCCCCAGUCAUCCUUCCCGAAGCUUUGUGUUCAGAGCUGGUGGCCUGCUCCACUAAGGGGGACAGUCUUCAAUUAAGGGCCCAGGAGCAGCUGAACUCCCGUGCUGGGGCCUCCAAACACGCCCUCAAGGUGCAUUUGCAGAGGAGCACGGGGAGAGGAGCUUCUAAGACCGGACAUCCAGUGGACGCGCUGCAGGUGGCAGUCUGCUUUUCCUU